AGAGUUUGAUCCUGGCUCAGAACGAACGCUGGUGGCGUGUCUUAUACAUGCAAGUCGAGCGGUCCGCAAGGGAUAGCGGCGAACGGGUGAGUAACGCGUAAGCAAUCUGCCCCCUGCUCGGGAAUAGCCGUGCCAACGCGCGGGUAAUACCGGAUAUAGUGGCCCUGGACAUCCGGGGUUGACAAAAGAUUUAUCGGCAGGGGGAUGAGCUUGCGUCCGAUUAGCUAGUUGGCGGGGCAACGGCCCACCAAGGCGACGAUCGGUAGCCGGCCUGAGAGGGUGAUCGGCCACAUUGGGACUGAGAUACGGCCCAGACUCCUACGGGAGGCAGCAGUAGGGAAUAUUGCACAAUGGGGAAACCCUGAUGCAGCAACGCCACGUGUGGGAAGAAGCAUUUCGGUGUGUAAACCACUGUCGUGAGGGAAUAAGGCAUCGUUUCGGCGAUGUUGAAUGUACCUCGAGAGGAAGCACCGGCAAACUUCGUGCC
Molecule: ribosomal RNA, 487 nt
Filed under: uncultured bacterium
Lineage: Bacteria
Description: bacterial SSU rRNA
Rfam family: Bacterial small subunit ribosomal RNA
Source: RNAcentral